This 873-nucleotide long non-coding RNA is filed under the name Marmota monax (woodchuck). Lineage: Eukaryota; Metazoa; Chordata; Mammalia; Rodentia; Sciuridae. The record is from RNAcentral.
AGGAUUUUGUUCUGAGAUCCUGUUCUGCAUCCUUGGCUCUCUCCCGACAAGGCACAAAACUGCGGUGAGCUGGGUCAUGUGACUUAAAAGAGGAAAUUAAAUGAAGUUUAAACCCGGAGCGAGUCUUAUCUGGGGAAUGCUGCAGAUAGCAGAACAAUUAUUCAGAGCAAUGAAGGGACCAAAGGGGCCAUCCUGCAGGUGUUCCCAUAUUGUCCCUGGGCUCCGGGCAGAGAAUGGAGGGAAAACGUGGAAAAGUUUUGAACCUGAAUGUCAGAGGCCCUGUGACAUUAUCACCCCUCAGGGCGAAUGUGUCCCGGGCAUUGUCCUUUUCUGUUGGAACAAGCUCCAGGAUUCUCACUGCUACCCUUGGCUCACAGAGGGUCAGUGACUGCUCGGAGCAGAAGGAGAUUGGGCAGUGCAGAGAGGGCUUCAGGAACAGCCCAGACCUGGAGUGACCGGCACUGGAAACCUCUCCCCUCCUCCUUGGGAGAGACAUCUGACUUUUGUUUUUUGAAGUUUUGAGCUAUCUUGUUUAGUUUCUGACCCUCUGCCUUCUAAACGCUUCCCACUGUGAGUCUGAGGAGGAGACAGUGUCCCUUUUCUCCUUAUGAAGGCCAAAGAGAGUGUGUGAGAAGCUUGCUCCCUGCUCCUGGAGGCCCAGGCAGGACACAGGAGGGUCGAGAAAGUGCACUAUCCUUGCUUGUCCUAGUCAUGUGACAAAGGCUUAGUGUCUUGGCCCCUCUGUUACGUCCUCUCUUCCUAGUGGCCCUCCCUUGCUCCUCACCAAGACAAGAAGCAAAACUGAGCCAAUGGAUGAGUCUGGAAGUGGAAUUUGAGCACGGCUGGCCGGAUUCUUUCAUCUUCUUCUUUGGC